This 497-nucleotide ribosomal RNA is filed under the name uncultured bacterium. Its description in RNAcentral is "partial 16S ribosomal RNA". It matches the Rfam family "Bacterial small subunit ribosomal RNA", at positions 28 to 507 of the family's 1533-position model. The record is from RNAcentral.
GAUGAACGCUGGCGGCGUGCCUAAUACAUGCCAGUCGAGCGAACAGAUGAGGAGCUUGCUCCUCUGACGUUAGCGGCGGACGGGUGAGUAACACGUGGAUAACCUACCUAUAAGACUGGGAUAACUUCGGGAAACCGGAGCUAAUACCGGAUAAUAUAUUGAACCGCAUGGUUCAAUAGUGAAAGACGGUUUUGCUGUCACUUAUAGAUGGAUCCGCGCCGCAUUAGCUAGUUGGUAAGUUAACGGCUUACCAAGGCAACGAUGCGUAGCCGACCUGAGAGGGUGAUCGGCCACACUGGAACUGAGACACGGUCCAGACUCCUACGGGAGGCAGCAGUAGGGAAUCUUCCGCAAUGGGCGAAAGCUUGACGGAGCAACGCCGCGUGAGUGAUGAAGGUCUUCGGAUCGUAAAACUCUGUUAUUAGGGAAGAACAAAUGUGUAAGUAACUAUGCACGUCUUGACGGUACCUAAUCAGAAAGCCACGGCUAACUACGUG